This 148-nucleotide non-coding RNA is filed under the name Pan troglodytes (chimpanzee). Lineage: Eukaryota; Metazoa; Chordata; Mammalia; Primates; Hominidae. The record is from Rfam by way of RNAcentral.
GCCGGGCAUGGUGGCGUGUGCCUGUAGUCCCAGAUACUCGGGAGGCUGAGGCAGGAGAAUCGCUUGAACCCAGGAGAUGGAGGUUGCAGUGAACUGAAAUUGUACCACUGCACUUCAGCCUGGGCAACAGAGUGAGACUCUGUCUCCA